AGCUCCAAUAGCGUAUAUUAAAGUUGUUGCAGUUAAAAAGCUCGUAGUUGGAUUUCUGUGUCAAGCUUCUGGUCCGCCGCACUGCGGUGCUGACUAAGUCGCGUUGACUCAUCCUUGUGGGAAUCAGUCUGGGCUUCACUGUCCGGCUGUUGCACCGCAUCUUUUACUGUGAAAAAUUAGAGUGUUCAAAGCAGGCUUACGCUGUGAAUACAUUAGCAUGGAAUAAUAAUAUAGGACUUUGGUUCUAUUUUGUUGGUUGGAGACCAAGGUAAUGAUUAAUAGGGAUAGUUGGGGGUAUUCAUAUUUAAUUGUCAGAGGUGAAAUUCUUGGAUUUAUGAAAGAUGAACUUAUGCGAAAGCAUUUACCAAGGAUGUUUUCA
This 379-nucleotide ribosomal RNA is filed under the name uncultured eukaryote. RNAcentral describes it as "SSU rRNA". It matches the Rfam family "Eukaryotic small subunit ribosomal RNA", at positions 587 to 972 of the family's 1831-position model. The record is from RNAcentral.